UUAAAUUUAAAGGGGGUUUUUUUAGGAAUUUGAUUAUACAAAAAAUUAAAUUGAUUUGGCGGUUUUUUAAACUUUUUAGAGGAACCUGUUUAUUAAAUUGAUAAACCACGAUUUUACGUAUCUAGAUUUUCUUGUAUAUCUCUAUAAUGAGUAUACUUUAAGGUUAAUUUUCUAUAUUUUUAAUAAAAAUUAAUUUAGGUCAAGGUGCAGUUAUAUUUAGAUUAAAAUGGGUUACAGAAAUUAAGGUUUGUGGGGGCAUAACUUAAAUACUGUAACGAAAUUGGAUUUAAAAGUAAAAUGAAUUAUUAAUUUAUUUGAAUUAUGCUCUAAAUUAUGU
Molecule: ribosomal RNA, 337 nt
Filed under: Nilaparvata muiri
Lineage: Eukaryota; Metazoa; Arthropoda; Insecta; Hemiptera; Delphacidae
Description: partial 12S ribosomal RNA
Source: RNAcentral